CAAGUUAGGGAAACAACCUCUACAAGGUAAGGUUAUCCUCUUUAAGUCACUAUCAUCUUUGCCAGCAGAACUUGGUUUGUAAUUGAGAUAGUUCUCCUGCCAUUACACUUGAAAAUAGUUAUACCAAAACACAUGGAAGUCUACUUAUAAUAUAUUUUAAACCAUAUUGACACUUUAUCCAAAGCUUUUGAAUCCUAAUAUACCAAAGCCGAACCUAUAUCAAGAGAAUAUUAGCCUUUUAUUUCCUACAACUUAUUUAGUGAGGCCAUUGAUACGGCAUAGAUGAUAUAAAUGAUAAUCAGGUACAAUAACAAGUAAUGAAAAAAAGAGGUACACCAAUACUGCUGAUACGCAUGGGCAUGGCAACAAAAAAAAGAAAAGUGAACCAUCUGAAGCAUACAGUUAGCUUUAUAGUGUAUAACCCAACACAACACAACCCAAACAUCUUGCAACAACAAAGACCUUCAG
Molecule: long non-coding RNA, 468 nt
Filed under: Capsicum annuum
Lineage: Eukaryota; Viridiplantae; Streptophyta; Magnoliopsida; Solanales; Solanaceae
Description: long non-coding RNA (CANN_LNC006996)
Source: RNAcentral